Molecule: ribosomal RNA, 433 nt
Filed under: uncultured bacterium
Lineage: Bacteria
Description: partial 16S ribosomal RNA
Rfam family: Bacterial small subunit ribosomal RNA
Source: RNAcentral
AACGAACGCUGGCGGCAGGCCUAACACAUGCAAGUCGAGCGAGGACUUCGGUCCUAGCGGCGGACGGGUGAGUAACGCGUGGGGACGUGCCCUUUGCUUCGGAAUAGCCCUGGGAAACUGGGAGUAAUACCGGAUGAGCCCUUUGGGGGAAAGAUUUAUCGGCGAAGGAUCGGCCCGCGUUGGAUUAGGUAGUUGGUGGGGUAAUGGCCUACCAAGCCGACGAUCCAUAGCUGGUUUGAGAGGAUGAUCAGCCACACUGGGACUGAGACACGGCCCAGACUCCUACGGGAGGCAGCAGUGGGGAAUCUCAGACAAUGGGGGAAACCCUGAUCUAGCCAUGCCGCGUGAGCGAUGAAGGCCUUAGGGUUGUAAAGCUCUUUCAGCUGGGAAGAUAAUGACGGUACCAGCAGAAGAAGCCCCGGCUAACUCCGUG